This 252-nucleotide ribosomal RNA is filed under the name uncultured bacterium. RNAcentral describes it as "partial 16S ribosomal RNA". It matches the Rfam family "Bacterial small subunit ribosomal RNA", at positions 524 to 775 of the family's 1533-position model. The record is from RNAcentral.
UACGAAGGGGGCUAGCGUUGUUCGGAAUCACUGGGCGUAAAGCGCACGUAGGCGGAUGUGUCAGUCAGGGGUGAAAUCCCGGAGCUCAACUCCGGAACUGCCUCUGAUACAGCACGUCUUGAGUUCGAGAGAGGUGGGUGGAAUUCCUAGUGUAGAGGUGAAAUUCGUAGAUAUUAGGAAGAACACCGGUGGCGAAGGCGGCCCACUGGCUCGAUACUGACGCUGAGGUGCGAAAGCGUGGGGAGCAAACAG